RNAcentral lists this ribosomal RNA (466 nucleotides) under uncultured bacterium. Its description in RNAcentral is "partial 16S ribosomal RNA". It matches the Rfam family "Bacterial small subunit ribosomal RNA", at positions 28 to 507 of the family's 1533-position model. The record is from RNAcentral.
GAUGAACGCUGGCGGCGUGCUUAACACAUGCAAGUCGAACGAUGAAGCCCAGCUUGCUGGGUGGAUUAGUGGCGAACGGGUGAGUAACACGUGAGUAACCUGCCCUUAACUCUGGGAUAAGCCUGGGAAACUGGGUCUAAUACCGGAUAGGAGCGUCCACCGCAUGGUGGGUGUUGGAAAGAUUUAUCGGUUUUGGAUGGACUCGCGGCCUAUCAGCUUGUUGGUGAGGUAAUGGCUCACCAAGGCGACGACGGGUAGCCGGCCUGAGAGGGUGACCGGCCACACUGAGACUGAGACACGGCCCAGACUCCUACGGGAGGCAGCAGUGGGGAAUAUUGCACAAUGGGCGCAAGCCUGAUGCAGCGACGCCGCGUGAGGGAUGACGGCCUUCGGGUUGUAAACCUCUUUCAGUAGGGAAGAAGCGAAAGUGACGGUACCUGCAGAAGAAGCACCGGCUAACUACGUG